GCAGUGGGAGCCCCACCACUAAGCCAGUGGUGAACUCCACAUACGCAUCCUUUGCUGAAGGUGCGGUUAACGGAGCGCAAGCGACGCCCAACACACAAAACAAGCGGUGAGUGCUUUGGGGUGGGGUGACUGCGUACCUUUUGUAUAAUGGGUCAGCGACUUAUAUUCUGUAGCAAGGUUAACCGUAUAGGGGAGCCGGAGGGAA
RNAcentral lists this ribosomal RNA (205 nucleotides) under Salmonella enterica subsp. enterica serovar Kentucky. RNAcentral describes it as "partial 23S ribosomal RNA". Lineage: Bacteria; Pseudomonadati; Pseudomonadota; Gammaproteobacteria; Enterobacterales; Enterobacteriaceae. The record is from RNAcentral.